CUGCCACAGAAAAUAGAUCUUGAAUUAUUGCAGUGACAAAAACCAUAUGGAAAAAGCACAACACGCCUCUGCACAUAUAUUUAAACAUGGUUUCUUUUUUAUAGUAAUAACUUAAUCCCAAUUGAGUUUUACGACAAACUAUACCCUUCAUUGCUUUAGGUUUUCUACAAAUCCACAAAUGGUUUACAGAAGAAUUGAAAUUAUGGCUCUUUUCUUAGUGAUGACUCUUCUCAUUUCCUCACAAGUUGCAGACACUCGACAGCUCAAUCGAGUCCCAUCUAAAGAAGGUGAGAUGGUUAUGGGAAGUGAUGCACGUUUUGAGUGUCCCAAUGGAUGUUGUGGUAUAUUCAGCCCUUAUUGCCGCUGCUGUCCUAACCCCAACACACACAAUUCUACCAAUCUACACACUUGAUGUUUUCUUAUACUAUUAAAAUUAAGGUGUUUUACAAAAAUUCAAAUAAAGGGAAGUAAAGUUGUAUAACUAAAUGUUCGAUUUAUGAAUGAGUUGAUUUACUGUUGGUCCGAA
Salvia hispanica is the source of this 526-nucleotide long non-coding RNA. RefSeq lists it as uncharacterized. The record is from RefSeq and is a predicted model, not a curated record. NCBI's taxonomy places the organism in Eukaryota, Viridiplantae, Streptophyta, Magnoliopsida, Lamiales, Lamiaceae.